Molecule: small RNA, 563 nt
Filed under: Pan troglodytes (chimpanzee)
Lineage: Eukaryota; Metazoa; Chordata; Mammalia; Primates; Hominidae
Description: processed transcript
Source: RNAcentral
UUUUGCCAACAACAACUGGUACUUCUUCCUGCGCCUGCACCAGACCCUGUGCUCCAGGCUGCUGAAGAUCUACCGCCAGGCGCAGAAGCAGCUUCUGGAGUAUCGGACCGAGAAGGAGCGGGAGAAGCUGCUGUGUGAGGGCCGCAGGGAGAAGGGCAGCGACCCCGCCAUGGAGCUGCGGCUGAAGCAGCCCAGUGAAGUGGAGCUGGAGGAGUACUACCCGGCCUUCCUGGACAUGGUGCGGAGCCUGCUGGAGGGCAGCAUCGACCCCACGCAGUACGAGGACACCCUACGCGAGAUGUUCACCAUCCAUGCCUACGUGGGCUUCACCAUGGACAAGCUGGUGCAGAACAUUGCGCGGCAGAGUUUUGCUCUUGUCUCCCAGGCUGGAGUACAAUGGCACAAUCUCUGCUCACUGCAACCUCUGCCUCCUGGUUUCAAGCAAUUCUCCUGCCUCAGCCUCCUGAGUAGCUGGGAUUACAGGUGCGCACCACCACGCCUGGCUAAUUUUUGUAUUUUUAGUAGAGAGGGGGUUUCACCAUGUUGGGCAGGCUGGUCUCGAA